This 183-nucleotide ribosomal RNA is filed under the name uncultured eukaryote. RNAcentral's name for it is "partial 18S ribosomal RNA". It matches the Rfam family "Eukaryotic small subunit ribosomal RNA", at positions 1299 to 1458 of the family's 1831-position model. The record is from RNAcentral.
UCGUGGAGUGAUCUGUCUGGUUAAUUCCGCUAACGAACGAGAUCUCACUGUAUUUAAAUAGCGACACAGACGGCCUAUCAGUGGUGGGGUGGGUUCGCCUGCCCUGCCGCCAGGCGCAGUUUGGUGAUAUAGCUUCUUAGAGGGACGGUAUCUCGGUUAGAGAUUGGGAGUGAGGCAAUAACA